GGGGCAUGAUGAGAUUUU
RNAcentral lists this microRNA (18 nucleotides) under Corchorus olitorius. RNAcentral's name for it is "cin-miR-4116-". Lineage: Eukaryota; Viridiplantae; Streptophyta; Magnoliopsida; Malvales; Malvaceae. The record is from RNAcentral.